This 473-nucleotide ribosomal RNA is filed under the name uncultured bacterium. RNAcentral describes it as "bacterial SSU rRNA". It matches the Rfam family "Bacterial small subunit ribosomal RNA", at positions 335 to 799 of the family's 1533-position model. The record is from RNAcentral.
ACUCCUACGGGAGGCAGCAGUGGGGAAUAUUGCACAAUGGGCGCAAGCCUGAUGCAGCCAUGCCGCGUGUAUGAAGAAGGCCUUCGGGUUGUAAAGUACUUUCAGCAGUGAGGAAGGCGGGUACGUUAAUAGCGUGCUCGUUUGACGUUAGCUGCAGAAGAAGCACCGGCUAACUCCGUGCCAGCAGCCGCGGUAAUACGGAGGGUGCGAGCGUUAAUCGGAAUUACUGGGCGUAAAGCGCAUGCAGGCGGCCUGUUAAGUCAGAUGUGAAAGCCCGGGGCUUAACCUCGGAAUUGCAUUUGAAACUGGCAGGCUAGAGUCUUGUAGAGGGGGGUAGAAUUUCAGGUGUAGCGGUGAAAUGCGUAGAGAUCUGAAGGAAUACCAGUGGCGAAGGCGGCCCCCUGGACAAAGACUGACGCUCAGAUGCGAAAGCGUGGGGAGCAAACAGGAUUAGAUACCCUGGUAGGAUAGCG